UGCAAGUCGAACGAACUCUGGUAUUGAUUGGUGCUUGCAUCAUGAUUUACAUUUGAGUGAGUGGCGAACUGGUGAGUAACACGUGGGAAACCUGCCCAGAAGCGGGGGAUAACACCUGGAAACAGAUGCUAAUACCGCAUAACAACUUGGACCGCAUGGUCCGAGUUUGAAAGAUGGCUUCGGCUAUCACUUUUGGAUGGUCCCGCGGCGUAUUAGCUAGAUGGUGGGGUAAUGGCUCACCAUGGCAAUGAUACGUAGCCGACCUGAGAGGGUAAUCGGCCACAUUGGGACUGAGACACGGCCCAAACUCCUACGGGAGGCAGCAGUAGGGAAUCUUCCACAAUGGACGAAAGUCUGAUGGAGCAACGCCGCGUGAGUGAAGAAGGGUUUCGGCUCGUAAAACUCUGUUGUUAAAGAAGAACAUAUCUGAGAGUAACUGUUCAGGUAUUGACGGUAUUUAACCAGAAAGCCACGGCUAACUACGUGCCAGCAGCCGCGGUAAUACGUAGGUGGCAAGCGUUGUCCGGAUUUAUUGGGCGUAAAGCGAGCGCAGGCGGUUUUUUAAGUCUGAUGUGAAAGCCUUCGGCUCAACCGAAGAAGUGCAUCGGAAACUGGGAAACUUGAGUGCAGAAGAGGACAGUGGAACUCCAUGUGUAGCGGUGAAAUGCGUAGAUAUAUGGAAGAACACCAGUGGCGAAGGCGGCUGUCUGGUCUGUAACUGACGCUGAGGCUCGAAAGUAUGGGUAGCAAACAGGAUUAGAUACCCUGGUAGUCCAUACCGUAAACGAUGAAUGCUAAGUGUUGGAGGGUUUCCGCCCUUCAGUGCUGCAGCUAACGCAUUAAGCAUUCCGCCUGGGGAGUACGGCCGCAAGGCUGAAACUCAAAGGAAUUGACGGGGGCCCGCACAAGCGGUGGAGCAUGUGGUUUAAUUCGAAGCUACGCGAAGAACCUUACCAGGUCUUGACAUACUAUGCAAAUCUAAGAGAUUAGACGUUCCCUUCGGGGACAUGGAUACAGGUGGUGCAUGGUUGUCGUCAGCUCGUGUCGUGAGAUGUUGGGUUAAGUCCCGCAACGAGCGCAACCCUUAUUAUCAGUUGCCAGCAUUAAGUUGGGCACUCUGGUGAGACUGCCGGUGACAAACCGGAGGAAGGUGGGGAUGACGUCAAAUCAUCAUGCCCCUUAUGACCUGGGCUACACACGUGCUACAAUGGAUGGUACAACGAGUUGCGAACUCGCGAGAGUAAGCUAAUCUCUUAAAGCCAUUCUCAGUUCGGAUUGUAGGCUGCAACUCGCCUACAUGAAGUCGGAAUCGCUAGUAAUCGCGGAUCAGCAUGCCGCGGUGAAUACGUUCCCGGGCCUUGUACACACCGCCCGUCACACCAUGAGAGUUUGUAACACCCAAAGUCGGUGGGGUAACCUUUUAGGAACCAGCC
This 1433-nucleotide ribosomal RNA is filed under the name Lactiplantibacillus plantarum. Its description in RNAcentral is "bacterial SSU rRNA". It matches the Rfam family "Bacterial small subunit ribosomal RNA". The record is from RNAcentral. Lineage: Bacteria; Bacillati; Bacillota; Bacilli; Lactobacillales; Lactobacillaceae.